AACGAACGCUGGCGGCAUGCCUAACACAUGCAAGUCGAACGAGACCUUCGGGUCUAGUGGCGCACGGGUGCGUAACGCGUGGGAACCUGCCCUUAGGUUCGGAAUAACUCCCCGAAAGGGGUGCUAAUACCGGAUAAUGUCUUCGGACCAAAGAUUUAUCGCCUUUGGAUGGGCCCGCGUUGGAUUAGCGGUGUGGUAGGGUAAAAGCCUACCAAGGCGACGAUCCAUGGCUGGUCGGAGAGGAUGAUCAGCCACACUGGGACUGAGACACGGCCCAGACUCCUACGGAGGGCAGCAGUGGGGUAUAUUGUACAAUGGGCGCAAGCCUGAUCCAGCAAUGCCGCGUGAGUGAUGAAUGCCUUAGGGUUGUAAAGCUCUUUUACCCGGGGUGAUAAUGACAGUACCGGGUGAAUAAGCUCCGGCUAACUCCGUG
RNAcentral lists this ribosomal RNA (433 nucleotides) under uncultured bacterium. RNAcentral describes it as "partial 16S ribosomal RNA". It matches the Rfam family "Bacterial small subunit ribosomal RNA", at positions 29 to 507 of the family's 1533-position model. The record is from RNAcentral.